This 465-nucleotide ribosomal RNA is filed under the name uncultured bacterium. RNAcentral describes it as "partial 16S ribosomal RNA". It matches the Rfam family "Bacterial small subunit ribosomal RNA", at positions 28 to 507 of the family's 1533-position model. The record is from RNAcentral.
GACGAACGCUGGCGGCGUGCUUAACACAUGCAAGUCGAACGGAAAGGCCCCUUUGGGGGUACUCGAGUGGCGAACGGGUGAGUAACACGUGAGUAACCUGCCCUUGACUUCGGGAUAACUUCAGGAAACUGGGGCUAAUACCGGAUAGGAAUCCUUGCUGCAUGGUGGGGGUUGGAAAGCUUCGGCGGUUUUGGAUGGACUCGCGGCUUAUCAGCUUGUUGGUGGGGUAGUGGCUUACCAAGGCUUUGACGGGUAGCCGGCCUGAGAGGGCGACCGGCCACAUUGGGACUGAGAUACGGCCCAGACUCCUACGGGAGGCAGCAGUGGGGAAUAUUGCACAAUGGGCGGAAGCCGGAUGCAGCAACGCCGCGUGCGGGAUGACGGCCUUCGGGUUGUAAACCGCUUUGAGCAGGGGCGAAGCUUGUGGUGACGGUACCUGCAGAAGAAGCACCGGCUAACUACGUG